UACGAAGGGGGCUAGCGUUGCUCGGAAUCACUGGGCGUAAAGGGCGCGUAGGCGGCCGAUUAAGUCGGGGGUGAAAGCCUGUGGCUCAACCACAGAAUUGCCUUCGAUACUGGUUGGCUUGAGACCGGAAGAGGACAGCGGAACUGCGAGUGUAGAGGUGAAAUUCGUAGAUAUUCGCAAGAACACCAGUGGCGAAGGCGGCUGUCUGGUCCGGUUCUGACGCUGAGGCGCGAAAGCGUGGGGAGUAAACAGGAUUAGAUACCCUGGUAGUCCACGCCGUAAACGAUGAAUGCCAGCCGUUGGCCUGCUUGCAGGUCAGUGGCGCCGCUAACGCAUUAAGCAUUCCGCCUGGGGAGUACGG
RNAcentral lists this ribosomal RNA (361 nucleotides) under uncultured Methylobacterium sp. RNAcentral's name for it is "bacterial SSU rRNA". It matches the Rfam family "Bacterial small subunit ribosomal RNA", at positions 524 to 885 of the family's 1533-position model. Lineage: Bacteria; Pseudomonadati; Pseudomonadota; Alphaproteobacteria; Hyphomicrobiales; Methylobacteriaceae. The record is from RNAcentral.